This 253-nucleotide ribosomal RNA is filed under the name uncultured bacterium. RNAcentral's name for it is "partial 16S ribosomal RNA". It matches the Rfam family "Bacterial small subunit ribosomal RNA", at positions 524 to 776 of the family's 1533-position model. The record is from RNAcentral.
UACGAAGGGGGCUAGCGUUGCUCGGAAUCACUGGGCGUAAAGCGCACGUAGGCGGCUUUCUAAGUCAGGGGUGAAAUCCUGGAGCUCAACUCCAGAACUGCCUUUGAUACUGAAGAUCUUGAGUUCGGGAGAGGUGAGUGGAACUGCGAGUGUAGAGGUGAAAUUCGUAGAUAUUCGCAAGAACACCAGUGGCGAAGGCGGCUCGCUGGCCCGAUACUGACGCUGAGGCACGAAGGUCAGGGGAGCAAACGGG